GACGAACGCUGGCGGCGUGCUUAACACAUGCAAGUCGAACGGAAAGGCCCUGCUUUUGUGGGGUGCUCGAGUGGCGAACGGGUGAGUAACACGUGAGUAACCUGCCCUUGACUUUGGGAUAACUUCAGGAAACUGGGGCUAAUACCGGAUAGGAGCUCCUGCUGCAUGGUGGGGGUUGGAAAGUUUCGGCGGUUGGGGAUGGACUCGCGGCUUAUCAGCUUGUUGGUGGGGUAGUGGCUUACCAAGGCUUUGACGGGUAGCCGGCAUGAGAGGGUGACCGGCCACAUUGGGACUGAGAUACGGCCCAGAGUCCUACGGGAGGCAACAGUGGGGAAUAUUGCACAAUGGGCGGAAGCCUGAUGCAGCAACGCCGCGUGCGGGAUGACGGCCUUCGGGUUGUAAACCGCUUUCGCCUGUGACGAAGCGUGAGUGACGGUAAUGGGUAAAGAAGCACCGGCUAACUACGUG
This 468-nucleotide ribosomal RNA is filed under the name uncultured bacterium. RNAcentral describes it as "partial 16S ribosomal RNA". It matches the Rfam family "Bacterial small subunit ribosomal RNA", at positions 28 to 507 of the family's 1533-position model. The record is from RNAcentral.